AAAGCAACGCUGAGUAAUCUUCCAAAUAUUUGCAGCAAAUAUUAUCCAUUCAACACUUGAGAAAAGUCUGCAUAGCUAAUUUUAUAUCUUCAGUAAAAAUCCGAAAACGCAAUUUGAGUCUGGGAAAUGGUACGGUCACAUGAGACAAAAAACCCCCCUUCCAUCUACUCUGACUAGUUUCAUUAUUAUUUACUAGCCUGACCAGUUUCAUUAUGAAGUUACCUUCGCUAUUGCAUCCAUUACCCUUGAUGAGCUAGCUACAUGGAAGCACUUGUUGCAGAAUAGUAACCUCACAGUGGUUGUAAGACAUGCAGUGGAUCCAUGCCAUCUAAUGCUACAGAAAACAUAGGUCAAAUGGACUCUGUAGACCUCCCUCAACAGCCAAGCCAAAGCCUAUGCAGCUGAGAGGAGACCAUUCCCAGGUGACCAAGGAGGAGAAGAACUGAUGGAGACCACAGAGGGUAUGCUGCAGCACCUUAAGACAUUUUGUUAGUGCUUUCUCCCAUAAAAAGCAACCUCAAUAGCAUCCAGAGACUUCUUGCCUUCACUGUUAUGAGGCCACCAACUGAAGAAUGAUAAUAGCAUUCCUGUGGUCUGUAAUUCCACCCUCCACCCACCGGAACUCUAGAUAAACCCUGCUAAGGUUCAAGCAC
Long non-coding RNA from Podarcis raffonei (Aeolian wall lizard), 653 nucleotides. RefSeq lists it as uncharacterized. The transcript has 3 exons. Lineage: Eukaryota; Metazoa; Chordata; Lepidosauria; Squamata; Lacertidae. The record is from RefSeq and is a predicted model, not a curated record.